RNAcentral lists this ribosomal RNA (301 nucleotides) under uncultured bacterium. RNAcentral's name for it is "partial 16S ribosomal RNA". It matches the Rfam family "Bacterial small subunit ribosomal RNA", at positions 509 to 807 of the family's 1533-position model. The record is from RNAcentral.
CAGUAGCCGCGGUAAUACGAAGGGGGCUAGCGUUGCUCGGAAUGACUGGGCGUAAAGCGCACGUAGGCGGACUUUUAAGUCAGGGGUGAAAUCCCGGGGCUCAACCCCGGAACUGCCUUUGAUACUGGAAGUCUUGAGUAUGGUAGAGGUGAGUGGAAUUCCGAGUGUAGAGGUGAAAUUCGUAGAUAUUCGGAGGAACACCAGUGGCGAAGGCGGCUCACUGGACCAUUACUGACGCUGAGGUGCGAAAGCGUGGGGAGCAAACAGGAUUAGAUACCCCUGUAGUCCCUGUCUCUUAUAC